GGAGCCCAACGUGGGACUCAAUCCUGGGUCUCCAGGAUCAGGCCCUGGACUGAAGGCGGUGCUAAACUGCUGAGCCACGGGGGCUGCCCCUCAAGUCACAGUUUUAGAAGAAAACCAAAGAAUGUGAUCUGCGGUGCAUGCUGCGCUUGCCAGUGGUGUGGAUGCAGAGUUCAAGCACAGACAAAGAGCAGGCAUUGAUUUCAUACUUCUGAUAGAUAAAUGAAGGAUUCAGAGCCUGAACCCAAGCUCAAAACAAGAUGCCGGAAGAAAAGAUCAAAGAGCUUAGAACAGAAUUCCAGCAAAAUUGAACACAGGAACACUGGUCGUCAAGUUACUCAUAAAUUUCAGGACCUCUUCCACUGCAUCUACUGGCAGAUAGAGGGCCAUGCCCACCAUCAUCUCUACCAGUGCCACCUCUACCCAAAGGAGUUGUUCCUCCUCUUCCACUUCCUUUACCUGGAAUAAAUGGUAAACCAUCAUCACCACCACAAUCAUUUUUGUUCAAGGCCCUCCUCCUCUAUCACUACCUUUGUUGGGGGACCUUUCGCUCUAGGAUCAUCACUUGCUCUAACUUAAAAAAUGAAGCAGAAAUAAAUGUAUAAAACUAAA
Canis lupus familiaris (dog) is the source of this 609-nucleotide long non-coding RNA. RefSeq lists it as uncharacterized. Lineage: Eukaryota; Metazoa; Chordata; Mammalia; Carnivora; Canidae. The transcript is spliced from 3 exons. The record is from RefSeq and is a predicted model, not a curated record.